CCCCUCUCAGGGUCGCACCUGGAGAGUUUCCAGAACUCUACCAGACUCGGCUAUGGGAGGGAGAGUCAAGCAGAGGCCUGUCCAUUCCAUUCCUGGCUUGGGCAGUGGCUAGAGAGUGGAAGGUCAUCUGCUAUAAGU
This is a small nucleolar RNA of Ornithorhynchus anatinus (platypus), 138 nucleotides long. NCBI's taxonomy places the organism in Eukaryota, Metazoa, Chordata, Mammalia, Monotremata, Ornithorhynchidae. The record is from RefSeq and is a predicted model, not a curated record.